CUCGCCGAGGGGCGCUGCGACCGUGUACGGCCCGCCACGGGUCACGGCCAGGCUCGGCGCGGUGCCCCGAGAACGGCGCCCGUAAUCG
RNAcentral lists this non-coding RNA (88 nucleotides) under Luteimonas sp. FCS-9. Its description in RNAcentral is "SAH (S-adenosyl-L-homocysteine) riboswitch aptamer". It matches the Rfam family "SAH (S-adenosyl-L-homocysteine) riboswitch aptamer". The record is from Rfam by way of RNAcentral. RNAcentral also lists the same sequence under 1 other name. Lineage: Bacteria; Pseudomonadati; Pseudomonadota; Gammaproteobacteria; Lysobacterales; Lysobacteraceae.